GUACUAAAGGUAUAGCUAACCACUAUAAUGCAUUAUGAAGCCUGGGGGGGUACUAAAGGUAUAGCUAACCACUAUAAUGCAUUAUGAAGCCUGGGGGUGGAGGAUAAAGGUAUAGCUAACCACUAUAAUGCAUUAUGAAGCCUGAGGGGAAGCCAAAACAAGUUAACCACCAGAAACCAUCACGGGGCAGAUAACAAUGAUUAAGUGUCUCAAUUCUAGAACACGGAUACUUUGUAGUAUAUAAACACAGUAUCUGACAGUAAAACAAGGAAACUAAGUACCACACAGCUGAGUUACAUUAAUCCUAACGCCUCACAAAUGCAUUUGACCUUGGUGUGUUCUGAUGGAGGGGUGUGUGUUGACAGGUACAGGUGUGUUCUGAUGGAGGGGUGUGUGUUGACAGGUACAGGUGUGUUCUGAUGGAGGGGUGUGUGUUGACAGGUACAGGUGUGUUCUGAUGGAGGGGUGUGUGUUGACAGGUACAGGUGUGUUCUGAUGGAGGGGUGUGUGUUGACAGGUACAGGUGUGUUCUGAUGGAGGGGUGUGUGUUGACAGGUACAGGUGUGUUCUGAUGGAGGGGCGUGUGUUGACAGGUACAGGUGUGUUCUGAUGGAGGGGUGUGUGUUGACAGGUACAGGUGUGUUCUGAUGGAGGGGCGUGUGUUGACAGGUACAGGUGUGUUCUGAUGGAGGGGUGUGUGUUGACAGGUACAGGUGUGUUAUGAUGGAGGGGUGUGUGUUGACAGGUACAGGUGUGUUCUGAUGGAGGGGUG
Long non-coding RNA from Oncorhynchus keta (chum salmon), 772 nucleotides. RefSeq lists it as uncharacterized. The record is from RefSeq and is a predicted model, not a curated record. The transcript has 3 exons. NCBI's taxonomy places the organism in Eukaryota, Metazoa, Chordata, Actinopteri, Salmoniformes, Salmonidae.